RNAcentral lists this ribosomal RNA (974 nucleotides) under uncultured bacterium. Its description in RNAcentral is "bacterial SSU rRNA". It matches the Rfam family "Bacterial small subunit ribosomal RNA", at positions 8 to 998 of the family's 1533-position model. The record is from RNAcentral.
AGAGUUUGAUCCUGGCUCAGGACGAACGCUGGCGGCGUGCUUAACACAUGCAAGUCGAGCGGAAAGGCCCUUCGGGGUACUCGAGCGGCGAACGGGUGAGUAACACGUGAGUAACCUGCCCUUGGCUUUGGGAUAACCCUCGGAAACGGGGGCUAAUACCGGAUAUGACUGCUGCCCGCAUGGGUGGUGGUGGAAAGAUUUUUCGGCUGAGGUUGGACUCGCGGCCUAUCAGCUUGUUGGUGGGGUGAUGGCCUACCAAGGCGACGACGGGUAGCCGGCCUGAGAGGGCGACCGGCCACACUGGGACUGAGACACGGCCCAGACUCCUACGGGAGGCAGCAGUGGGGAAUAUUGCACAAUGGGCGGAAGCCUGAUGCAGCGACGCCGCGUGAGGGAUGAAGGCCUUCGGGUUGUAAACCUCUUUCAGCAGGGACGAAGCGUAAGUGACGGUACCUGCAGAAGAAGCGCCGGCCAACUACGUGCCAGCAGCCGCGGUAAGACGUAGGGCGCGAGCGUUGUCCGGAUUUAUUGGGCGUAAAGAGCUCGUAGGCGGCUUGUUGCGUCGACCGUGAAAACCCGGGGCUUAACUUCGGGCUUGCGGUCGAUACGGGCGGGCUAGAGUUCGGUAGGGGAGACUGGAAUUCCUGGUGUAGCGGUGAAAUGCGCAGAUAUCAGGAGGAACACCGGUGGCGAAGGCGGGUCUCUGGGCCGAUACUGACGCUGAGGAGCGAAAGCGUGGGGAGCGAACAGGAUUAGAUACCCUGGUAGUCCACGCUGUAAACGUUGGGCGCUAGGUGUGGGGGGCCUCUCCGGUUCUCUGUGCCGCAGCUAACGCAUUAAGCGCCCCGCCUGGGGAGUACGGCCGCAAGGCUAAAACUCAAAGGAAUUGACGGGGCCCGCACAAGCGGCGGAGCAUGCGGAUUAAUUCGAUGCAACGCGAAGAACUUUACCUGGGUUUGACAUGGUCGGAAAAC